Molecule: long non-coding RNA, 374 nt
Filed under: Fragaria vesca (wild strawberry)
Lineage: Eukaryota; Viridiplantae; Streptophyta; Magnoliopsida; Rosales; Rosaceae
Description: long non-coding RNA (FVES_LNC002215)
Source: RNAcentral
CCUUUUCAUGACAAUCCGUUAAUCCCAACCCUUCCAUACCAAAACACUCAUGAUCAUCGAGCCCUCUCCCCAAUAAGCUAUCAACAUCAGCUGCAAACUCUGCCAGAUCCAUAUCACUCGGAAGAUCAAAUCCAUGUGAUGAAGGUGAGUUUCUAUUUCCCACACCAUAGUAAUUAGGCAUCGAAACCGCUUUGGAUUCGUUUCCAUUGAGAUCGUUGGAAACAGCGUUGGAAUUAGGAGAAGUGCAGAGCUCCGCAACAAAGGGAUCGUAUAUCGGAACUCUAUAUAGAAGCUGCUCCUCCUCGUUCUCCUCAUACGACAGGUCGUCCGCUCCGACUUCCGGAACAAGAGGAAAUCGGUUCCGAGGAGCCGCA